RNAcentral lists this ribosomal RNA (170 nucleotides) under Chaetoceros simplex. RNAcentral describes it as "partial 16S ribosomal RNA". It matches the Rfam family "Bacterial small subunit ribosomal RNA", at positions 338 to 524 of the family's 1533-position model. Lineage: Eukaryota; Bacillariophyta; Thalassiosirophyceae; Chaetocerotales; Chaetocerotaceae. The record is from RNAcentral.
CCUACGGGAGGCAGCAGUGGGGAAUUUUCCGCAAUGGGUGAAAGCCUGAGGAGCAAUACCGCGUGAGGGAAGACGGCCUAUGGGUUGUAAACCUCUUUUUUCAGGGAGGAAUUUUGACGUGUACCUGAAGAAUAAGCAUCGGCUAACUCCGUGCCAGCAGCCGCGGUAAU